GAACAUGGAAAGAGGAAAAAAAUGUUAACUCCUAUGUCAUAGCCAGGGACGGAAGGAAGCAAAUCCCACCCGCCUUGAGGCAUUUGAUUUCAAGGGCCCUCUCUUCAGGCAGCAUGUGUUUGUGGGGAGCAGAGGCUCGGCAUACACGCAGCUAUAAGCAACUUGCCAAAACCCACUCGGCAAAACACCGUCCCGCUGACGUAGCUGAGGGGGUGACUGCCGUGAGAAGCCACAUGGAGCAAACCCUCCAGUCUCUCCAGAGUGGUGGGAUGAAUAAUAUUACUGGAUGAUGUGUGGGCAUUUAAUCAGACCCACAUGUAUGCAAAAUCAAACACACAUAUAUGCAGAGCGACUAAAGAACAGAGACUUAUCUGUCCGGAUUCUGGAGCAACAUGAAAAAAAAAGAUAGAUUUUUUUCUUCAAACCCAAAUCUGUUCCCUUAUACACUGUAGAUGUAUUACAAAUUACUUUUUUUUUUUUUUUCAAAGAAAGAGAUUAAAAAUG
RNAcentral lists this long non-coding RNA (504 nucleotides) under Anser brachyrhynchus (Pink-footed goose). RNAcentral describes it as "lncRNA (ENSABRG00000000754.1)". The record is from RNAcentral. Lineage: Eukaryota; Metazoa; Chordata; Aves; Anseriformes; Anatidae.